GACAGAGGGUGCAAACGUUGUUCGGAAUUACUGGGCGUAAAGCGCGUGUAGGCGGCUUGGCAAGUCGGGUGUGAAAGCCCUGGGCUCAACCUAGGAAGUGCACUCGAAACUGCUUCGCUUGAGUACCGGAGAGGAAAGCGGAAUUCCCGGUGUAGUGGUGAAAUGCGUAGAUAUCGGGAGGAACACCAGUGGCGAAGGCGGCUUCCUGGCCUGUUCUUGACGCUGAGGCGCGAAAGCGUGGGGAGCGAACAGG
This 253-nucleotide ribosomal RNA is filed under the name uncultured bacterium. Its description in RNAcentral is "partial 16S ribosomal RNA". It matches the Rfam family "Bacterial small subunit ribosomal RNA", at positions 524 to 776 of the family's 1533-position model. The record is from RNAcentral.